GACGAACGCUGGCGGCGUGCUUAACACAUGCAAGUCGAACGGAAAGGCCCCUUUGGGGGUACUCGAGUGGCGAACGGGUGAGUAACACGUGAGUAACCUGCCCUUGACUUCGGGAUAACUUCAGGAAACUGGGGCUAAUACCGGAUAGGAAUCCUUGCUGCAUGGUGGGGGUUGGAAAGCUUCUGCGGUUUUGGAUGGACUCACGGCUUAUCAGCUUGUUGGUGGGGUAGUGGCUUACCAAGGCUUUGACGGGUAGCCGGCCUGAGAGGGCGACCGGCCACAUUGGGACUGAGAUACGGCCCAGACUCCUACGGGAGGCAGCAGUGGGGAAUAUUGCACAAUGGGCGGAAGCCUGAUGCAGCAACGCCGCGUGCGGGAUGACGGCCUUCGGGUUGUAAACCGCUUUCAGCAGGGGCGAAGCUUGUGGUGACGGUACCUGCAGAAGAAGCACCGGCUAACUACGU
Molecule: ribosomal RNA, 464 nt
Filed under: uncultured bacterium
Lineage: Bacteria
Description: partial 16S ribosomal RNA
Rfam family: Bacterial small subunit ribosomal RNA
Source: RNAcentral